Molecule: long non-coding RNA, 285 nt
Filed under: Mytilus galloprovincialis (Mediterranean mussel)
Lineage: Eukaryota; Metazoa; Mollusca; Bivalvia; Mytilida; Mytilidae
Source: RNAcentral
AAAAGAUCAAAAGUUGUACAGUUAGGGUUAUUGAAGAUUAAAUGGGUAUAAUCCUGCAUGCUGUUGUAGUUCUGUGACUGCUAUAAAAGUAUUCUCAGAUUUGGCGUUAUUCAAUAUAUUCUCUAAAUCAUAUCAGUAGUCAAACCUACCGAUGGGGAUCUUUCCAUGUCUUGAUUUGGACAAUGGUUGUUUUAUUUCGUUGGACACUUAAAUUCGUGGAUAAAGUCAUCCACGAAAAGCACGAAAAUUGGUACCCCACGAACAAAAGUACUUUCACAGUAUAUA